Molecule: long non-coding RNA, 232 nt
Filed under: Gossypium raimondii (Peruvian cotton)
Lineage: Eukaryota; Viridiplantae; Streptophyta; Magnoliopsida; Malvales; Malvaceae
Description: long non-coding RNA (GRAI_LNC009232)
Source: RNAcentral
AAGCACUGGUGAACAUGGAAAAACCACACAGGACAGGAUAAGAACAUUAGCCAGCAAACCUAGCAAGGCAAAGAUUACAGAGAGCAUGAAAUGAAAAAUGUUAAGAUGUUCCUCUAACUUAUAUGUACUUAUACUAAAAGUGAAAAAAUGCAAGGCAUCAGAACCGCAAAAAUAUCAAAUGGUUGCACAACACCUUGAAAGAAAUUAACAAUCUAAUAAACUACAUCUGUGG